Molecule: long non-coding RNA, 251 nt
Organism: Ficedula albicollis (Collared flycatcher)
Lineage: Eukaryota; Metazoa; Chordata; Aves; Passeriformes; Muscicapidae
Exons: 3
Source: RefSeq, a predicted model, not a curated record
AGACCCCUGCGAGAGAGUCCAGAAGGUUGCAAUUAAGGAAGGGGACUGGCAGAUAGUUUCAAAGUUCACUGCUGCCCUGGAACACUGUCAGGAAUUGGAGGUGACAGCGACAGUCUCUGGAGUGCAGAACUGAUUAAAUUCGAGGGACCUGAAUGCUGUAGCUCCAGGACAAGACCUUUCAUGGGGCUACCACAGAAGGAAGUCACCAGACUGCUGUUCUUUUGCACUAGAUUUUAAUACAUAAUAUGCCA